AACCCCUCUUUUUAUGCAAUUUUUUUUUUUUUUGUUUUUCAAUCAUUUAUUAAUAUUUACAUUAAAAAAUUUAAAGUUAUGCUUUUUAUUGUGCCACGUGGCCCAAUUAAUAUAGGCCACGUGGCAUUCCAUUAAGUGUUACCAUUUUUUAAACGGCUGGUGUAACAUAGGGACCAAUACCAAAAUGCUUUCAAACUACAAGGAUCAAAAACCAACAGAAAAAACUACAAGAACUAAUACCAAAAGUAUGUGAAACUGCAAGGACUUAUAACAUAUUUAAGCCUUCAAUUUAU
RNAcentral lists this long non-coding RNA (293 nucleotides) under Trifolium pratense (red clover). RNAcentral describes it as "long non-coding RNA (TPRA_LNC011912)". The record is from RNAcentral. Lineage: Eukaryota; Viridiplantae; Streptophyta; Magnoliopsida; Fabales; Fabaceae.